CUUCUCUCUGUUACCAAAAGCAACUAUUCCUACUAACAUUUUGUUCUUGGUUCUGCUGUCUUGUACUUGUUUCACUUCAACAGGUUCACCCCAUUACUUUUGUUUUCUUUCUUCCUUGUCUCUGUCUUUAAAUUUUCAUUGGUUCGGUGCCUUUUGUAUAAUGGAUGGUUCAGUUUUCCUGAAAUUAAUGCAUGUCCGUGUCAGUUUCUGGUGGGAUCUUCAUUUUAUGCUGCAUGGAGCUUAUGCCCUCUUGAAUUUGGAAAUGCGUGUAUGCUUGUGAAAGAUGCAACAUUUGUUCUUUGAAUUUGAUAAAGAAAUUGUGGAAACUUCUGAUCAUUUAUUACUGCUAAUCUUGUUGAUGCCAAUUAUAUUAAGUAGAAGUAUGUUGUUUAGCUUGCUUUGCUGCUAUGAUGAAGAUAUAGAUAUGGAACAAAGAAAUUAAAUAAAAUUGUGUUCUGACUACUUUAAAAUAA
Molecule: long non-coding RNA, 473 nt
Filed under: Glycine max (soybean)
Lineage: Eukaryota; Viridiplantae; Streptophyta; Magnoliopsida; Fabales; Fabaceae
Description: long non-coding RNA (GMAX_LNC001776)
Source: RNAcentral